CAAUGGGAGAUUUGUGAGUGUGAGGCACAGAGCUGUAACCAACUCUUACAACUCUAGAAUGUCAAUGGCAUAUUUUGCUGCACCACCUCUCGACGCCGAGAUCGCUGCACUACCGCACAUGGUCUCUGCCGCGAGGCCUACCUUGUACAGGCCAUUCACUUGGGCUGACUACAAGAAAGCUGCUUAUUCUCUACGUCUUGGAGAUGCCCGUCUUGAUCUAUUCAGGAAACAAGGAGACGAGCUUGCUUAAUGGCUUGUGGGUAGUUUCGAGUCUUUGAGAAAUAUAAAAAUAUGGAGG
RNAcentral lists this unclassified non-coding RNA (298 nucleotides) under Hevea brasiliensis (rubber tree). Lineage: Eukaryota; Viridiplantae; Streptophyta; Magnoliopsida; Malpighiales; Euphorbiaceae. The record is from RNAcentral.